Molecule: microRNA precursor, 131 nt
Filed under: Canis lupus familiaris (dog)
Lineage: Eukaryota; Metazoa; Chordata; Mammalia; Carnivora; Canidae
Description: microRNA mir-8816 (ENSCAFG00845027897.1)
Source: RNAcentral
AGGGGUGGAAGGGGCCUCGGAGAGUCUCAGGCUACCUAGAGUCACACACUGAGUUGGUGGCUGGGUUGGAACUAGAAUCCAGGUCAUGUGACUCCCAGUUCAGGAUCACUCUCACCUUGCUCACUUGUGCA